GAUGAACGCUGGCGGCGUGCCUAAUACAUGCAAGUCGAGCGAACAGACGAGGAGCUUGCUCCUCUGACGUUAGCGGCGGACGGGUGAGUAACACGUGGAUAACCUACCUAUAAGACUGGGAUAACUUCGGGAAACCGGAGCUAAUACCGGAUAAUAUAUUGAACCGCAUGGUUCAAUAGUGAAAGACGGUUUUGCUGUCAGUUAUCGAUGGAUCCGCGCCGCAUUAGCUAGUUGGUGAGGUAACGGCUUACCAAGGCGACUAGGCGUAACCGAGCUGCGAGGGGGGUCGGCCACACUGGAGCGGAGACACGGUCCAGACUCCUACGGGAGGCAGCAGUAUGGAAUCUGCCGCAAUGGUCGAAAGCCUUACGGAGCAACGCCGCGUGAGUGAUGAAGGUCUUCGGAUCGUAAAACUCUGUUAUUAGGGAAGAACAAAUGUGUAAGUAACUAUGCACGUCUUGACGGUACCUAAUCAGAAAGCCACGGCUAACUACGUG
RNAcentral lists this ribosomal RNA (497 nucleotides) under uncultured bacterium. RNAcentral describes it as "partial 16S ribosomal RNA". It matches the Rfam family "Bacterial small subunit ribosomal RNA", at positions 28 to 507 of the family's 1533-position model. The record is from RNAcentral.